Molecule: ribosomal RNA, 313 nt
Filed under: uncultured bacterium
Lineage: Bacteria
Description: bacterial SSU rRNA
Rfam family: Bacterial small subunit ribosomal RNA
Source: RNAcentral
GACGAACGCUGGCGGCGUGCCUAAUACAUGCAAGUCGAACGAACGGAUUGAGGAGCUUGCUCUUCAAGAAGUUAGUGGCGGACGGGUGAGUAACACGUGAGGAACCUGCCUCAUACAGGGGGAUAACAGUUAGAAAUGACUGCUAAUACCGCAUAAGCGCACAGUGCUGCAUGGCACAGUGUGAAAAACUCCGGUGGUAUGAGAUGGACCCGCGUCUGAUUAGCUAGUUGGUGGGGUAACGGCCUACCAAGGCGACGAUCAGUAGCCGGCCUGAGAGGGUGAACGGCCACAUUGGGACUGAGACACGGCCCAA